This is a long non-coding RNA of Diceros bicornis minor, 326 nucleotides long. RefSeq lists it as uncharacterized. The transcript has 3 exons. The record is from RefSeq and is a predicted model, not a curated record. Lineage: Eukaryota; Metazoa; Chordata; Mammalia; Perissodactyla; Rhinocerotidae.
GUUUUUUCAGAUUGAUAUCCACAUUAAUGGAGAACAUGUCGAAACCUUUCAGGAAGAUCUCACCUUUACAUUAGACACCUCGGCUUCACCAAAUUUACCCAAGAUAGAUGAUGACCUAAAAGACCCACCAAGUGGUUCACUGACACAUCGCUUAUAAGAUCUGUCCUAUACAAGAAGUGGAGACAGAGGCAACUCUGCAAAUAUUGGCAUCAUAGCAAGGCACCCGCUCUACUGCCUGUACUUAAAAUAAUUUCUAACUGCUCAAGCCGUAGAAGAUUACUUCCAACAUAUUCCACAUAAAGAACAACCUGAAGGGAAUUCAGUAA